AGGAUGAAGUUUAACACAGGAAUGAGGAGUAGAGCACAUAGCUGCUAAGAUAAGGCUGGAGUCUCAGCUCAUUGCAACCUCUGCCUGCCAGGUUCAAGUGAUUCUCCUGCCUCAGCUUCCCAAGUAGCUGGGACUACAGCCUCUGACACUAAGACGGACACCGCCACAACUACCCGCAAACAGUGAGGCCAGCCUUUCGCUACUACAUCAAUUUCGUUACUUAGGUAUGCCACUGG
Symphalangus syndactylus (siamang) is the source of this 236-nucleotide long non-coding RNA. RefSeq lists it as uncharacterized. Lineage: Eukaryota; Metazoa; Chordata; Mammalia; Primates; Hylobatidae. The record is from RefSeq and is a predicted model, not a curated record.